AUCCCUGUAGCGCAAUGGAUAUCGCGUUGGACUUCUUAUCCAAAUGUCAUGGGUUCAAUUCCCACCUGGGAUG
Molecule: transfer RNA, 73 nt
Filed under: Trichonephila inaurata madagascariensis
Lineage: Eukaryota; Metazoa; Arthropoda; Arachnida; Araneae; Nephilidae
Rfam family: tRNA
About the family: Transfer RNA (tRNA) molecules are approximately 80 nucleotides in length. Their secondary structure includes four short double-helical elements and three loops (D, anti-codon, and T loops).
Source: Rfam by way of RNAcentral